GUCGCUUUGGCCGAGUGGUUAAAGGCGUGUGCCUGCUAAGUACAUGGGAUUUUCCCGCGAGAGUUUGAAUCUCUCAGCGACG
Molecule: non-coding RNA, 82 nt
Organism: Gossypium hirsutum (cotton)
Lineage: Eukaryota; Viridiplantae; Streptophyta; Magnoliopsida; Malvales; Malvaceae
Source: Rfam